AUGCACGCUGGCGGCGUGCCUAAUACAUGCAGGUCGAGCGAACGGACGAGAAGCUUGCUUCUCUGAUGUUAGCGGCGGACGGGUGAGUAACACGUGGAUAACCUACCUAUAAGACUGGGAUAACUUCGGGAAACCGGAGCUAAUACCGGAUAAUAUUUUGAACCGCAUGGUUCAAAAGUGAAAGACGGUCUUGCUGUCACUUAUAGAUGGAUCCGCACUGCAUUAGCUAGUUGGUAAGGUAACGGCUUACCAAGGCAACGAUGCAUAGCCGACCUGAGAGGGGGAGCGGCACACGAGGAAAGAAGAACGGCUGCCAGCCUCGACGGGGGGCAGGAGGGGGAAAUUUUCCGGAAGGGGCGAAAGCCUGAGGGAGCAACGCGGGGGGGGUGAAGAAAGGCUUCGAAUCGUAAAACUUGUUUAUUAGGGAAGAACAAAGUUGUAAGUACCGGGGAAAAUCUGACAGUAACCUAAUAAAAAAGCCCGGGUUAACUCCGG
Molecule: ribosomal RNA, 495 nt
Filed under: uncultured bacterium
Lineage: Bacteria
Description: partial 16S ribosomal RNA
Rfam family: Bacterial small subunit ribosomal RNA
Source: RNAcentral